GGCCGCGGGAAUUCGAUUGGAUCGCCCUUAGAGUUUGAUCAUGGCUCAGGAUGAACGCUGGCGGCGUGCCUAACACAUGCAAGUCGAGCGAGAAGGUUGCAAAUGAUUCUUCGGAAGAAUGCGCAACUGGAGAGCGGCGGACGGGUGAGUAACGCGUGGGUAACCUGCCCUAUGGAGGGGGAUAACUAAGAGAAAUCUUAGCUAAUACCGCAUAAGCGCACAGCAUCGCAUGAUGCCGUGUGAAAAACUCCGGUGCCAUAGGAUGGACCCGCGUCAGAUUAGCUAGUUGGUGAGGUAACGGCUCACCAAGGCGACGAUCUGUAGCCGACCUGAGAGGGUGAUCGGCCACAUUGGGACUGAGACACGGCCCAAACUCCUACGGGAGGCAGCAGUGGGGGAUAUUGCACAAUGGGCGAAAGCCUGAUGCAGCAACGCCGCGUGAAGGAAGACGGUUUUCGGAUUGUAAACUUCUAUCAGCAGGGAAGAAAAAAGACGGUACCUGACUAAGAAGCCCCGGCUAACUACGUGCCAGCAGCCGCGGUAAUACGUAGGGGGCAAGCGUUAUCCGGAAUUACUGGGUGUAAAGGGUACGUAGGCGGCCCAUUAAGUCAGAUGUGAAAGCCCGGAGCUCAACUCCGGGAUUGCAUUUGAAACUGGUGGGCUAGAGUACAGGAGAGGAAAGUGGAAUUCCUAGUGUAGCGGUGAAAUGCGUAGAUAUUAGGAAGAACACCAGUGGCGAAGGCGGCUUUCUGGACUGUAACUGACGCUGAGG
Molecule: ribosomal RNA, 772 nt
Filed under: uncultured bacterium
Lineage: Bacteria
Description: partial 16S ribosomal RNA
Rfam family: Bacterial small subunit ribosomal RNA
Source: RNAcentral